ACCAGACUCCUACGGGAGGCAGCAGUGGGGGAUAUUGCACAAUGGGGGAAACCCUGAUGCAGCGACGCCGCGUGGGUGAAGAAGCGCCUCGGCGCGUAAAGCCCUGUCAGCAGGGAAGAAAAUGACGGUACCUGAAGAAGAAGCCCCGGCUAACUACGUGCCAGCAGCCGCGGUAAUACGUAGGGGGCAAGCGUUAUCCGGAUUUACUGGGUGUAAAGGGAGCGUAGACGGCGGCGCAAGCCAGAUGUGAAAGCCCGGGGCUCAACUCCGGGACUGCAUUUGGAACUGUGUGGCUGGAGUGUCGGAGAGGCAGGCGGAAUUCCUAGUGUAGCGGUGAAAUGCGUAGAUAUUAGGAGGAACACCAGUGGCGAAGGCGGCUUACUGGACGGCAACUGACGCUGAGGCUCGAAAGCGUGGGGAGCAAACAGGAUUAGAUACCCGCGUAAG
This 447-nucleotide ribosomal RNA is filed under the name uncultured bacterium. RNAcentral's name for it is "bacterial SSU rRNA". It matches the Rfam family "Bacterial small subunit ribosomal RNA", at positions 330 to 793 of the family's 1533-position model. The record is from RNAcentral.